Molecule: ribosomal RNA, 456 nt
Filed under: uncultured bacterium
Lineage: Bacteria
Description: bacterial SSU rRNA
Rfam family: Bacterial small subunit ribosomal RNA
Source: RNAcentral
AUUGAACGCUGGCGGCAGGCCUAAUACAUGCAAGUCGAACGGUAACAUAAGAGAAGCUUGCUUUCUUGAUGACGAGUGGCGGACGGGUGAGUAAGAUUUGGGAAACUACCUGAUAGAGGGGGACAACAGUUGGAAACGACUGCUAAUACCGCAUACAGCCUCAGGGUGAAAGAAGCGAUUCGCUAUCAGAUGUGCCCAAACGGGAUUAGCUAGUAGGUGAGGUAAAGGCUCACCUAGGCGACGAUCUCUAGCUGGUCUGAGAGGAUGAUCAGCCACAUUGGGACUGAGACACGGCCCAGACUCCUACGGGAGGCAGCAGUAGGGAAUAUUGCACAAUGGAGGAAACUCUGAUGCAGCCAUGCCGCGUGUGUGAAGAAGGCCUUCGGGUUGUAAAGCACUUUCGGAGGGGAGGAAAAAAUGACGUUACCCUCAGAAGAAGCACCGGCUAACUCCGUG